GGGCGAUCAUGCAGUUAAUCAAAGUACAUUCUCAAUCAAAUGCAAGACCUUUCUAAAUUAUUCACAAUAAAUUCAACCAAAGUACAUUCUCAAUCAAGUUUAUUGUGUUUAAUCAUGUCUAUUCUUAAAUCUCUUAACCAAAUUAAAAGUUAAUCAAUCAAAGUAAAUUCUCAAUUGAUUUUAGUUGAAAUUACUACUACCAACCAAAGUACAUUCUCAAUUGAUAGUAAAAACCAUUUAAUCAUAUGAAAGUUCCUAAAUUAAAUCAAAGUAGAUUCUCAAUUAAACCUAGAAACCCUAGAACUCAUANAAUUAAUAUGCAUGUAGAUUCAAACACAUAAUGAUGCAAAAAUCUUUGCUUUUAAUAUGAUAGAGAGAUGAAAGACAUAGAGAGACAUAAACUUAAAUCAAUAAUCAAAAUAAACAAUUGCAUUAAUUCACUUAACCUCAGAAUCCAUAAUGAAAUUACAGCAGAAUAGCCCUAGGAGCUUAGAAACAUAUGAAAGAAAAGUGAAAGCAGUGGUGGAUGAAUGAAUGAAGCUCUCCCUUUCUGCCUCCCCUGGGUCUCUUUAUAUAGGGCUUGAUUGGGCUUGGACUUUGAAUAUUCUGUUGAUAAAAUCUUUUAUCUUAUAUCUAAUAUCUUUCAAAUAUUCAACAGAUUUAAUCAGAUUUUGAGAAUAUUAGAUAAUAUCUUUCCUAGAUCAAAAAGAUUUGGCAAAUAUUAUCUUUUGAUAUUUAUUGAUAUAGUUAAAUNAGAUAAUUAUUUAACAAUUAUCAAGUAAAAUAUCUUAAGAUAUAUUUUCUCCAAAANAUCUUUUAAAAUAUCUAGAAGAUUUAAACUUGUCCAAAAUUACAUUUCAACCCUUUUUAUUUUAUUUACACAUAAGUCCAAAAUUUUUCUCUAAUUGCACUUUAGUCAUCUCUUUCUUUUCAAAAUUGCAUAAGACUUUGAGUUGACCAGAUUAGACCAUCUUUGACCAUUCAAUUUCAUGCUUUAAAUGAAUAAAAUUUUAACUUCAGUUGCACAAAUAAACAUUAGAACAUCCAAAAUAAUUUAUGCAACUAAGAAUCACAUUUUAAGCAUCUUUAGUUCCCAAACCCAAUAAAUUCAAUCGUCAUAAAUUCACUUUAAAUCAACCAUUUAAGCACAAAUAUAUCAUCAAAAAUUUGAAUUUUAAAGCAUAAAUGUGGGCAUAAAUAUGCACUUAUCACACCCCC
Molecule: long non-coding RNA, 1218 nt
Filed under: Vigna radiata
Lineage: Eukaryota; Viridiplantae; Streptophyta; Magnoliopsida; Fabales; Fabaceae
Description: long non-coding RNA (VRAD_LNC002185)
Source: RNAcentral